Molecule: ribosomal RNA, 197 nt
Filed under: uncultured bacterium
Lineage: Bacteria
Description: partial 16S ribosomal RNA
Rfam family: Bacterial small subunit ribosomal RNA
Source: RNAcentral
ACGCUCGACACCUACGGGAGCAGCAGUGGGGAAUAUUGCACAAUGGGGGAAACCCUGAUGCAGCGACGCCGCGUGAGCGAAGAAGUAUUUCGGUAUGUAAAGCUCUAUCAGCAGGGAAGAAACUGACGGUACCUGACUAAGAAGCACCGGCUAAAUACGUGCCACAGCCGCGGUAAUCUGAGCGGGCGUGCGAAGGC